UAAUAAAUUGUAAAUUUAAAGGAUAAUUCUAAGAGGGACAGCUCUUAGAAUAAGGGGUACAGCCCUAAUCAGAGAGUAAUUAUAUAUUUAAUAAUCAUAGUAGGCCUAAAAGCAGCCACCAAUUAAGAAAGCGUUAAAGCUCAACAAAUCUAACUAACUUAAUACCAAAAUUUAUCCCUAACUCCUGAUUUACAAAUUGGACUAAUCUAUUAUACUAAUAGAAGAAAUACUGCUAAUAUGAGUAACAAGAAAUAAUUUCUCCUAGCAUAAUUUUAUAUCAGAUCGAAUAUCUCGCUGAUAGUUAACAAUUCAAUGAACAAAAUCAUUAAUAAAAUAAUCAUUUAUAAAAUUGUUAGACCAACACAGGUGUGCGUUUAAGGAAAGAUUAAAUAGGCCAGAAGGAACUCGGCAAACACAAGCUCCGCCUGUUUACCAAAAACAUCACCUCUAGCAUCUCAAGUAUUAGAGGCACUGCCUGCCCAGUGACAUAGUUAAACGGCCGCGGUAUCCUGACCGUGCAAAGGUAGCAUAAUCACUUGUUCUUUAAUUAAGGACUCGCAUGAAUGGCUUCACGAGAGCUUAACUGUCUCCUGACCUAAAUCAGUGAAAUUGACCUUCCCGUGAAAAGGCGGGAAUACUAUAAUAAGACGAGAAGACCCUAUGGAGCUUUAGUAUAAAAACUAAGACCAAUUUAUAAUAACCUAAGGGUAUAUAAAUAAGUUAACUAGUUAUAAACUUUGGUUGGGGUGACCUCGGAGAACAAAAGAACCUCCGAAUGAUUCUAAUCUUAGACUCACAAGUCAAAGUAUGAUCAUUUAUUGACCCAGUAAAUUCUACUGAUCAACGGAACAAGUUACCCUAGGGAUAACAGCGCAAUCCUAUUCAAGAGUUCAUAUCGACAAUAGGGUUUACGACCUCGAUGUUGGAUCAGGACAUCCCAAUGGUGUAACAGCUAUUAAAGGUUCGUUU
RNAcentral lists this ribosomal RNA (969 nucleotides) under Erinaceus europaeus (western European hedgehog). RNAcentral's name for it is "partial 16S ribosomal RNA". It matches the Rfam family "Bacterial large subunit ribosomal RNA", at positions 961 to 2578 of the family's 2925-position model. Lineage: Eukaryota; Metazoa; Chordata; Mammalia; Eulipotyphla; Erinaceidae. The record is from RNAcentral.